AACUGACAACACGGGCCUUCUUGCAGCUAGUAGCGGGCCUAGAAUGUUCAGGAUUGAAAGUGGCUAACUUCCUGAUAUUCCUGCACUCCUCCACCAUGAGGUCCUCCUUGCUAGCGCCUCCAUGGAAGCACUUGGAAGGCCUUUUCCACUGAUCACUAUGGCUCAUGAUCCAUUGACUACCCUCUUCCCUUGAGUCUAAUUCCAAAUUUUCUUCUGUCUACUGGGAAGAUGACAUUAAAAGGCUCCUCAUGCAGUACAGGACUGUUCUAGCUUCUGGGUUCUUAAGGAGUGGAUGGAGGUGCGGAGAAGAGAGGGAAAGUGUCUCUCAUCCUAUAAAGACUUCCCAGAAGAAACGGCAGCUGAAAAGGAUCAUCAUCCAUGAAGACAGUUGAUCUAAUUUGCAUUUAUGGAACUGAGCAAUUUAUCAAGGAUUUGGGUGAAUGCAUCUAUUUUAUCAUUUUUAAAAUGAGAAUUCCAUCUCUGAAAAUAAUUUUCUACUCAAUCUGUACAAAUGUAGAGAAAACAGUGAUUAGUGUGCUUGGCUGUCUCUAUAAACUCAAUAAAGGCUAGGAAUAUGGUAGA
Long non-coding RNA from Monodelphis domestica (gray short-tailed opossum), 582 nucleotides. RefSeq lists it as uncharacterized. Lineage: Eukaryota; Metazoa; Chordata; Mammalia; Didelphimorphia; Didelphidae. The record is from RefSeq and is a predicted model, not a curated record.